Molecule: non-coding RNA, 31 nt
Filed under: Homo sapiens (human)
Lineage: Eukaryota; Metazoa; Chordata; Mammalia; Primates; Hominidae
Source: RNAcentral
UGCCCGUGGAAGCCAGUGUGAAGGUUAGGGC